UUUGACUUGUCUCAGUUACUUUGGAUCAGACCAGGACUGACUGUAGCUCCUCUGAAGAUCUGAGGGUGACUUUCCAAAGCAGGGACAGUGGCCCUUUGCUGCUCAGCAUGUGCAGCAUUGCCAGAUGCUGUAUGCAGAACACCGAAGUGCAGUAUGCUACAACAACACUGAGAAGCACGAUGCAUACCCCAGUUGUGGUCCUGUCACCAUUCCAAGAAGAAAGGCUGCUGGGUGAGCAGAGAAAAAUGAGAAGGCAGAAUCUGGCUUUAGCAUCUAGUGGAUACAACAACAAAAGUUUAUGAGAACUUUUUCUGUACUACAUCACUGAAAUCUGGAAAACAGCCCAUUACCUGAAGAGCUCAAAAUAAGAUCAACGUAGACCAAAAGGAGGGCAAAUGUAGAGGGACAGAGUAAAUUUAUUUUUAAAUGAAUGUGCAUAAACGCAAAAACACAUUCCCAUUCUGCAUUGGUUUCUUAUGAUUACUUCGGUGCCGCCUCUUCCCUGUUGGAGGAUCAGAACCCAAGUUCUCUGCCGCAGUCCCAUCCAGUUGUGCGGCACACACACAGGGUGCCCAGCUCUAGGGAAGAAAAAUCACCCCUUGCCAUCCUCUCCCUGGAGCUCUGUUCAAACACAGGUGAGGGGAGAAGAGCUUUCUCCUUUGUGCAGCGUACACAAUUGCCAUUUACUACAGUCACCCAAUGAACACCAACAACGGACAAGGUAAACGAUCUAGAGAAUCAGAAACAGCAAGUGAAUGGAUCAGAUGAAGGACUUGACCACUGAAUUGCUGAUGCUACACCACACAUGAAAGCAGUGAAACAAAUGGGAUCAGCAGAAGGAAGCCCUUCUUUUCAUCUCUCAGUGAGUACGUCUUUCCUUUGCUUCUCUCAGCAGCAAAUUGGCAAGGUUCUUCUGAGACGUGGUGGCAUCAGCUUUGUGUGGAUAAAGACUAUAUCUAAGGUUUAUUGCUUUGCCUACAGCUUCCAGUAAUAUCAGUUCUCAUUGCCAGGCUAAGAACUUCAAAGAUGCGUUUGAAUUUAGGAGCAGAACUUGGGUAUCAGUGUGGGAUGAAUCAUCCCCGCUAGCCUAUGGACCUCUCAGGAAGCUCACUGCAAACUGUAAGUGUUUAGAAUAUUCAGUAAAAUGCUCCCUUUAUUUCAACACUUAGGCAGCAGCAGAGAAGCUUUGUGUUAAGUAACAGGCUUUGGAAAUGUUAAACUCCUUCUUGUAUUGUUUAAUUCACAGUCAAAGUCUGCUAUGCUAUUUUAAUUUCAGUUAUUUUUGAAAAAGUUAAGCUUCUGUUCUGCUAAUGACCAAACUCGUUUAGCAAAAAUAGCUUUUUAAUAUGGGACAAUGGACUCUUGAGAGACUACAAUCGGUAGUGUUGCUAAAACUACUUGUACUAAGAAGUGGGUCUCCAAAUGCAGAGUCGCAAGGUAAAAGAGAAAUUGCAGCACAUAACAAUACAAGAAUUAAGUCUUUAGAGCCAAAGACAUAUUAUUUUUAGCAUCAAAACAUCUUAUUAGGCUAUUAAAGAAGAGCUUUGCGCUUUGUCAACAGCUGUUUUGGGUCAUGCAUAUAAAUAUUUCCAAGCAAUUUAUGGCCAGACAACACACUCUGACUUUGUUUAGGGAUUUAGUAUUUCAACUAUUUGUUAAAUGUCGACUUCUACAGCAAAUAAAAUUUAACAACCCACAUGGAGAAUUGUUUACAAAAGAUUAUUCUGGCAAAUGGUACUGUGUAUCUGAAAUGUUUCAUGAUAAUCACAACAUGUUUUCAAGGUCUGUAUUCACUAUGACAGUUAUGUUGCAAAUUCUAUAAUAAGUUUAGAUAAUAGCACAUACUUCUGUUAUCUGUGCUCAUGCCUUCUGUUUCCACCUUCUAAUUUUUAUGCCUGUUGCCAAUUUCUAAAUACCUGUCAUUAGUGUAAGUCUUCCAGGCUAGUAUUCUUUACUUUGAUUCGCAAAUCCCUAUAUUUUCUUGUAUGGGAACAGUCCUCUAACUAGUAAACACACACUACUGACAACAGAUCGGGUUUUUCUGGAGUUAUUUUUUGUGUGCCUCUCUGGAGAUCUGCAAAUGAUGUGUUGAAAAACAUUCUCCCAAGUCUCUAAUGUGUCUCGUGGAAAGCAAACAGUUUAUAAAUAAUGUACUUAAAGUUUAGUAUCUGUCACUCAAUUUAACUUGCAGCAAUAUGCCAUGUCUCUGAGCACAGGUACUUGUAUAACUGAUGAGAAAUGAUGAUUCCAAUGCUAGCAAGGUUACUGAUCAGUAUUCUUCAGUGUGAAUGAAGGUGGUGCAGCUGUAGGCCAGGUCGUAGAGAGGAGACCUCAUGAUAUGUCUGCCUAGAUCUCCAAUAACAAGCUGUCCCCAAAAGACUGGAGCUGUCAACUCAAAAGAGUCAGAGUUCCUUUAAAUGAAAACUAGAAAUUUGAUCUUUUUAAAUACAGAAAACUCAUCACAUGGUCAAUUAGAAGUGAAAAGAUUUGUACACAAUUGUCCCACAGAAAGAGUGCCUUUGUAGGCAAGCCUUUGUUCCAGUUCUGAUUUUACCCAACUCAGUGCAUGCCUGAGAUACAACAAACUCUGCCCAGUCUCCCUUGGUCCCUGAGCAGUUUUUCUACCAUUGUUAAUACACAGCAAGCUGCUGCUUGCUCCUCAACUUUGUACAUCCUGCAGGACAAAUAGCUCCCAAUGGGAAGAAAGUGUUGCCUUUCGUAUGGCUCUAUCUCCAGUUUCCACAGCCUCCUUAAAGAAACAUAAAAAACUGUAAACAAAAAUGGAUGACUGACUUUUCUUUUUGUUAUAUUUUUAACUUUCACUUCCACAAGCUAAAAAACUUGGUUUCAAGUUUUUGACAGUAACAAAAACCCACCCAUUUCCUUGAUACAUGUCAGGAAAAAACUUUGCUGCCAACUUUUUCAUCAAGACACAAUGUACCUCUAAGAAUAGACUUCACCCUGGUUUCUCCUUACUUUAAA
Columba livia (rock pigeon) is the source of this 2982-nucleotide long non-coding RNA. RefSeq lists it as uncharacterized. Lineage: Eukaryota; Metazoa; Chordata; Aves; Columbiformes; Columbidae. The transcript has 4 exons. The record is from RefSeq and is a predicted model, not a curated record.